Molecule: long non-coding RNA, 259 nt
Filed under: Phoenix dactylifera (date palm)
Lineage: Eukaryota; Viridiplantae; Streptophyta; Magnoliopsida; Arecales; Arecaceae
Description: long non-coding RNA (PDAC_LNC017030)
Source: RNAcentral
GCAUGUAGUGGCUACCCAAUAGAAUAGAAAGAUGAACCUCUAGGUGCAGUUACCAUGUGAUACAGUCCUACUAUCGUGGAUCCCUACAGGACGGAGGUCAUGGACAACUCGUCAAGCCCUGAGGAUGAUAGUGUUAUUUUGAUGAUUAACAAGCAAUUAUCUAGAGUAUGUUAUAAGUUAAAUCGAUACGUCAUUUAUAAGUUUAUUACUCUCAGUAUAUUUUGUAUUAAUUGAUAUAGAUGCAUUUCAUUGUUCAUUU